GAGGCUUUAGUAUAUAUUUAGUAUAAUUUAUUUUCAAUAAAUAGGAUAUGAGUCUUAU
RNAcentral lists this transfer RNA (58 nucleotides) under Macropostrongyloides dissimilis. Its description in RNAcentral is "tRNA-Glu". The record is from RNAcentral. Lineage: Eukaryota; Metazoa; Nematoda; Chromadorea; Rhabditida; Strongylidae.